This 311-nucleotide long non-coding RNA is filed under the name Bos taurus (domestic cattle). RNAcentral's name for it is "long non-coding RNA NONBTAT016115". Lineage: Eukaryota; Metazoa; Chordata; Mammalia; Artiodactyla; Bovidae. The record is from RNAcentral.
CUAAGACAGAGUGAACAAACUUAGCCACCUCUUCUCUAGUAUGUUCUUUGAUAAUCAUGGGAAGGGAUUAGGUUGCAUGUGAAAUUUUCAGACACCUAACAGCUGGAAGAGCCUCUGAGACUGUCUGUUUGCUUUUCACUUGUCUUUCGUGGCUUAGUCAUGCUAGUUCUUUAAUUAUCAAAGUUAUUUGUGUUUAAACAAUUUGUCUCUCUCUUCCUGUUUGAUCCUUCAGAGAUUCUUAAAAUGCAGCUGCUUAGAAACUGCUAUUUUUAUUGAAACACCUGAUGCAUUAAUAUACAGGGCCUUAUGUU